RNAcentral lists this long non-coding RNA (202 nucleotides) under Panax ginseng (ginseng). RNAcentral's name for it is "long non-coding RNA (PGIN_LNC014309)". The record is from RNAcentral. Lineage: Eukaryota; Viridiplantae; Streptophyta; Magnoliopsida; Apiales; Araliaceae.
AAGUUGGCACUAUCACAUUACCUGUUGAUCUUAUCUCUUUAAAGAUACUUGAUUUUGAUGUGAUUUUAGGAAUUGAUUGGUUAACCACUCAUCAUGCCAAAAUUGAUUGUUUUCGUAAGGUGGUUAGUUUUCAUAUUCCUAACCAACCUGUCAUACGAAUUCAAACUACUAAACCACUAAAAUCAGUCACUGUCAUAUCAAG